RNAcentral lists this unclassified non-coding RNA (310 nucleotides) under Hevea brasiliensis (rubber tree). Lineage: Eukaryota; Viridiplantae; Streptophyta; Magnoliopsida; Malpighiales; Euphorbiaceae. The record is from RNAcentral.
AAGAAGGGGUUCAAAUGCUCAAGGUAACUGAAUAUAAAGUUAUAACCUACACAUGUAUGCAUGUGUGUGUUACUUAUGUUAUUGGUGAGCUAAUAUCUUUAAAUAAUAUAUUAUAUCACCAUUAAUAAACAAAAUACUAAUUAGAUGGUGUUUAACAGGUGUUAGAAUGAUGGAGAAAAUAAUAGAUUUUUUAAGAGGAAGAAGUAUGGGAAGUAAUAGCUGGCAUUAGGGUUGGCCAUUGGGUCCGGUUCAAGGUUCAGGGGUACCAGGGUUCCCCUUAUAUCUGGUUCUGUCUUUUGAUCAAAUCCAA